GGCUGGAAUACCCACUUUCGGCCCACUAAGUGAUAUCCUCUGCGCAGCCCAGCCAGAUCAACGCUGGCACGUUGGACCCACACGUCAUACCGCGCGCUCAUCACCGCUCUGCCAAUGCCACAGCGGGCCCACUCGCCAGUCUUCCCUCGCGCCUACUUCCUCGUCUGUGCCACUGAGUCACUGGACCCACUUCCCAGCCGAUCGACCACGCGUCUGUGUUCCUCCGGUGUGACUUACAUGUGGGCCCGAAUGGUUUGCACUCGUCUCUAACAACCUCACCGCGCAUGGCGGAGCUCCGCCGAGAGCUUCGGAGUUGUCCGUUGCGUGCGCCUGGACCGGUCUGAGGAGAUUUAAGUGCGGAGGAACCGAAGCCUUGACCCUCUCUCUUCACCACGUCUCUGCUCACCUCGUCGAGAAACAGUUUGAGAGAGAAAGGGGGGCGGGAGAGAGAUUUAGGCCGCCGCCUGCGAAUCUCGUCACCAUGGGCUGUCUGACCUCGGUGAAGGGCCGGGGAGGGUCGUCUGCACUUGGUGUUGUUGUCCGUGGCCGCAAUCGAAAAGGAGAGGCCACAGGACUGCGGCAAUUUCUCGCCGUCGACUAGUUUGCCGCCGCGGGCAACUUCACACCGCGACCGGGUACUUCUACGGCGUCAAGUCCGGUAUGUCACCCAUCCAUGAGUUCACCGUAGCCUCCGCAUUGUGUCGAUGCCGUUAAAUUUGGGAAUGGUUUCCUUGGACACGGGCGGGCAGUUCACCGGCGUAAUCGCCGCCGCGGUGGAGUUCUCGGCGGCUGUGUGCCCAGCGUAAGGGAGGAGACGGGCUAGGGCCAUCGAUCUUGCGAUGUGCGGUUAGGAUCGGAUUAGGGCAAAAGCGAUUCUCUGCCGUUGGAUUCCGAUCCCGCGAUCACGGUUUGAUCUGUAGAUUUAAAACCGGGACCGUCAGAUCUGGAUCCGGGGGGGCUGCGCUGCGUACCGUUUCGUGGCUUAGGCAAUCUAAUCCGAUGCGUCCGUUGUAGAUCGGGCGGUGGAUCGUGGCCCGUACUCUUUCGGCCGAGCAAACAUUCAAAAGAGUCCCUGUAGUUUAUAGAAAUUAACCCGCCGUCCGUAAGGAUGUAGUUCUGAGUCUUAGGGAUUUUACCCCGAGCCCCCUGCACUCUCUAAAAAUAGUGCGCCGAGUCCAGAGAAUAAGAAAAAUCACAGAAAUGAAUUUAGGAAUAGAAUUUUAAUAUUAAAUUAAUUGCAGAAACUUGUUUAAUUUGUAGAAAAUCCAUUCUAGUCCAAAUUGACCCAUUCAAGUUUCUAAAAUUUUAUAAUUUUAUUCUCUACCACCUAGAGCCUCUGUUUGGCCAUGAAAACAAUAAGAAAUUUAAUUUUCCAUUUAAUCCUAUUUUAAACAUAUAAAACCUUUGAAAAUUCAUAACUUAAAAUCUAUAACUCCAAAAAUUAUGAUUCCUGUUCCUAGGAUUUUAUUUUAAUAUGUAGAAUAUUGCUGUGUAUUUUGUUCACAUGCUUGGUGUGAUGUUAAUUUUUCCCUGUAUAUUGUGCUUGUUUGUAUUGUGGCGAGUAGAAGAGCCCGUUGCUGAGGAUCCUGGUGAGCAGCAGAUAGAAGUAGCUGAGCAGGAGCUCAUUGAAGGCAAGUUAUGCCCUUGACCACUUUUUACCCAAUAAUGUUCUUUAAUGUCACUUAUUCAUGCAUAGGUUAAUUUUGAUGGGACCCGAUAGGUCACCCUAGAUUGUUUAUCUCAUUACCUUGUUUACCCCUGAAUCACUUGGGUAGUUUGCUAUUGCUUUACAUGGUUUUGGGAUAAUCAUUUAUUAUAUCUAUGUUCCAAUUAUUCUUUUGUUAUUCUAUUUAUGUUCAUGUCAAGUUCAUUAAUGUUAAUUGGAACAUAGAGCUUAACUUGAGAACCACGUGCCACCACAAGGGUUUAAUGGGACGCCCUUGGCUGACUAAUUAGGAAAGCUAGUGGAAGACUACCUUACCCGAAAGGGGCAAGGGCAGUAGGGGAGUGGUCAGUGUAGGGAGGUCCUUGGUUGAUUUUGCUGCGAUGGCGGUCAGGCAAGAACCCUGCAUUGGAGCUUUCUAUAAACUGUAGCGGGUUUUCGGAAGCUAGUGGAACUUUGUAAAUGCCUCGUAGUGUUGCCCUGCCGCGCUUCCUAGGUAGAGGUGUAUGGGAGUCGCAACCCCUUGGCAAAUGGGUAACAUGACUUGUGGGUAAAGGGUACAACCUCUGCAGAGUGUAAAACUGGUAUACUAGCCGAGCUCACGGUCAUGAGCAGCUCAAGACUCUCUGAUGAUUAAAUUAUGGAACCUAAAUUCAAUUUUGUCAUUUGCAUAUGCAUGGGUUUAUUAUUAAUUUGUUCUAUUACUUUAUUUUAGGUUUGGUAUUUACUUACACUUAGUAAUUGCUAAUAAAAUUUUGACCAACUACUUAAAAGCAAUGCUCAGCUUUAACCAUUCUCUUUGAUAAGCCUUACACUCCAUGAGCUUCCACCUUUGGUGAGUUCAUGUCACAUUAUUCCCCACGACUUGUUGAGCGAUGAACGUAUGUGAGCUCACUCUUGCUGUCUCACACCCCCCCACAGGAGAAGAACAGGUGGUUUAGGAGGAGCCACAAGGCGAGGAGUUUGAUCUGAUCUAGGUGGCAUUUCUCAGUUGACAUUGGCGCCAACGAUCCUUAGUUCGUUUUAUGUUUAUUCUUUUAUUUUGUAAUAAGUCUUCCGCUAUGUAAUAAAUACUCUGAUGUUUUAUGACAUUUAUCUCUAUACACUCUGUUAUUAUAUAUGUUGUCUUCUUGGCGCAUGUAUGAGAUGCACCUGGCUUUGUUCCUUAAAGCCGGGUGUGACAGGAGUGGUAUCAGAGGAAAUGUUGACUGUAGGACGAAACCUAGAUAGAAAUGGACAAAACCUUACCUACUUACCUUAUUCUGAUUCAUUCUAUACUUACCUUCUUCUGAUUCAUUCUAUACUUACCUUACUCUGAUUCUCUUUAUACUUAUCUUGAUCCUGUCUCACCUUCUACUGUUCCCCUCUGAUCAUUCUUAUCUUUUCUACUCUAAGACAAGAUGGAUUUCACACCUUGGAAUCCUACAUCUAUGAUAUUUUAAGAGAUAGGGAACCUAAGACAAAAUUAAAACUAUUUUCUCUAUUUAAAAUGUUGCUUGAUUGUUCUGAUGAUAAAUGUCUGAUUUGCUUCUUUGAUUGAUUGAAUUAUUAUAGAUGGACAUCUUAGCAUGUACCACCAUAAGAUAUUAAGUUAACUUUAGUAGGUGACACACUAAUCUACUUAGUUAAUAAAUCCCCCACAGUAACAUUCCUCGUAAUUACUCACCUUAUCUACAAUUCUUCCUUUCUUACCCUGUAUUUCUAACCCAGAUGGGCUACCCCCAUAGUGUUAGAAGAGAGCACUAUACACGUGAUCUUUGGUAUGUUAUGGUUAAGAAAGGCAAAGGCAGUAUAUACAUUGUGCUAAGGGAACCUUAGAACUCACCAGUUCCAAAGGAGAAAGAUUGAAGUUGGAAUUGUAGUAACUACCGCCACCGGACUAGCGACAUUCUUAGUAGAUGGGAAGUUUGUUGGUGACAACAUCCGUGAGGUUAAGGAUGUUCCGGAUGUCUUUCCAGAGGAGUUACGAGGGAUGCCACCGGAUACGGAAGUUGAGUUUGUCAUUGAUCCCUUACCUGAGACUGCUCCUAUUUCUAAACGGUCGUACAGGAUGUCCACAGAAGAACUAAAGGAACUUAAGAAGCAAUUAACGGAAUUACAAGAGGCUGGGUACAUUCAUCCGAGUUCUUCACCUUGUGGAGCGUCAGUUCUAUUUGUACAGAAGAAAGAUGGAUCGCAAGGGAUGUGCGUGGAUUAUAGGACCCUUAAUGAUGUUAUCAUGAAGAACAAGUGUCCGUUACCCCGCAUUGAGGAUUUAUUUGGUCAGAUGAGAGGUGCAAGGGUGUUCUCUAAGAUUGACCUCAGAUCGGGUUACCAUCAAAUGAAGAUUAGGCCCUCGAAUAUUCCCAAGACAACUUUCCUGACCCGAUAUGGAUUAUAUGAGUUCACUAUUAUGUCGUUUAGAUUAACCAAUGCACCAGCUUAUUUUAUGAAUUUGAUGAAUAAGGUGUUUAUGGAGUAUUUGGACAGAUUCGUCGUGGUAUUCAUCGACGAUAUUCUUAUCUAUUCCAAGAGUGAUAUUGAUCAUGAGGAACAUCUGAGAUUGGUGCUACAGAAGCUACGAGAUGAUCAACUCUACGCCAAGUUUAGCAAGUGCGAGUUUUGGAUUGGUGAGGUGCCAUUUCUCGGAUAUAUUAUUUCUAAUGGAGGGAUAUCAGUGGAUCCUGCUAAGGUUAAGGAGAUAAUGGAGUGGAGAGUACCCACCACAGUUACUGAGAUUCGGAGUUUUUUGGGACUAGCAGGAUAUUAUCGGAGAUUUAUUGAAGGAUUUUCUAAGAUUGCUAAGCCUAUGACUUCGCUUCUGGAGAAAGGAAGAGAAUUUAAGUGGGACGAGAAGUGCCAAGACAGCUUCGAUCAAUUGAAGAAAAGAUUGAUGUCGUCACCAGUAUUGGUUAUGCCAGACCUACAGAAAGGAUUUGAUAUCUAUUGUGAUGCAUGUGGCCAAGGCUUAGGAUGUGUGCUCAUGCAGGAAGGACAUGUGAUUGCCUAUGCGUCUCGUCAGUUACAGAAACAUGAAUUGAACUACCCCACUCAUGACUUGGAAUUGGCAGCCGUUGUGCACGCGCUUAGGAUUUGGAGACAUUAUAUUAUGGGAACCAAGUGUCAAGUAUACACAAAUCAUAAGAGUUUGAAGUAUGUAUUUAUUCAGAAGGAUCUCAACCUUAGGCAACGCCGUUGGAUGGAGCUUAAUAAGAAUUAUGAUUUGGAGAUUCACUAUCACCUGGGCCCAAAUUUGGUUGCAGAUGCCUUGAGUCGAAAGGAGCAUGUUCAUUCAGCUGUUGUUGCCCAGUUACCUGAUGAGAUUGUUGAGGAUUUCAGGAGACUUAACCUGGGGAUAGUUGCUCACGCUGAAGAAGUUACUAUUGAUGUGGAACCUACUUUGGAGCAAGAAAUCCGCAAAGGACAAAUUGGUGAUGCUAAGAUACAAGAGAUUAAGGAUCUGAUUACUGAAGGUCGAGGUCCGGAAUUCAUGGAAGAUGAACAAGGCACUGUGUGGUUCAAGGACAGGAUAUGUGUUGCCGAGAUUGAUAACCUUCGAGAGACUAUAAUAAAGGAAGCCCAUGACUCAGAUUAUUCUAUUCAUCCUGGGAGUACCAAGAAGUAUCAGGAUUUGAAGCUGAAAUACCGGUGGUAUGGAUUGAAGAGAGAUGUAGCUGCACAGGUGGCUAGGUGUGUUGUGUGUCAAAGAGUUAAGACCGAACAUCGAAGACCAGCUGGACUAUUAUACCCAUUAAAGAUACCCGAAUGGUGGUGGGAAGAGAUUGGUAUGGAUUUCAUUACUGGAUUGCCCCGCACCUCGAAAGGAUGUGAUUCUAUAUGGGUUAUUGUGGAUAGACUGACCAAAGUGGCUCAUUUCAUUCCGGUCAAGACUACUUAUAAGUGACCUCAAUUGGCUGAGUUAUAUAUGGCUCGGAUUGUGUCUCUACACGCUGUACCGAAGAAGAUCAUUUUGGCUAGAGGAUCACAGUUUACCCCUAGAUUUUGGAAAAGUUUUCAUGAGAAUAUGGAUGCGAAGUUGAAUUUUAGUUCGGCCUACCUCAGACUGAUGGAUAGACUGAAAGGACUAAUCAAGUAUUGGAGGAUAUGUUGAGGGCUUGUGCCCUUCAGCAUUGAGGAAGUUGGGAUAAAAGUCUAUCAUAUGCUAAGUUUUCAUAUAAUAAUAGCUAUCAGGCCAGUCGGAAGAUGUCACCUUUUGAAGCUCUAUAUGGGAGGAAGUGCAGGACUCCUCUAUAUUGGAUUAGACUGGAGAAAGACAGUUCUUUGGGCCUGAACUGAUUCAAGAAGCAGAAGAACAAGUCCGUAUAAUUCGAGAGAAUUUGAGGGUAGCUCAAACCAGACAAAAGAGCUACGCAGAUAAUAGAAGAAGGCCACUGGAAUUUGAAGAAGGAGAUUAUGUGUAUCUCAAGGUGUCACACUUCGUGGAAUGAGGAGAUUUAAAGUUAAGGGCAAAUUGUCCCCUCGUUAUAUUGGACCAUUCUUGAUUUUUAGGCGAGCUGGGGAGAUGGCAUACCAACUCGAGUUACCUGAUAGUCUAUCGGAUGUGCAUAAUGUGUUCCAUGUAUCUCAACUAAAGAAGUGUCUCCGUGUCCCUGAGGAACAGUUACCCAUGGAAGAGCUCAGUGUUCAAGGUGAUUUGACUUACACGGAGUACCCGAUCAAGAUUUUGGAUACUUUGACUCGAGUUACAAGAAAUAAGGUGAUAAAGAUGUGCAAAGUCCAAUGGAGUCACCACGGUGAAGAUGAAGCAACUUGGGAAAGAGAAGAAGAGCUUCGUAUAGAUUUUCCCCACCUUUUCCCUCGUUCUUCCUAAAUCUCGAGGACGAGAUUAUUUUUAAGGGGGGUAGGAUUUGUAACACCCACUUUGUAGAAAAAAAUCUAGAAAGAGAAAUCAUAGUACUCUAUAGAUAUUGUGUUAUCUCUAUUCAUUAUUCCAUGUAAACACCCUAUGCAAAAGCAGAUAGUUAAUAAAAGAAUCUAUGCCAUUAAAAUUAUGCAUCAUGCUGAAUAUUAAUUUUUGUGGUGUGCAUUCUGUGACAACAUAAAAUAAUAUAAAAGAAAAGAAAUAUGUUAAAAUCCAAAUUGGAAUUUAAGUUCUCAAAGGAAAAUUCAAGAAUUUGAGAAAGAAAAGAAAGAACACUAAACAAAGAUAAAGAAAAUAAUUAUAAAGAAAAUAGUUAGAUCUCCUUAUUUGGGUUCAAAUUGUACAUUUAGAAUGAAUAUAAAUUCACAGUUAAACUUGAAUUCAAAUUUGAAUUCUAGAAAUUAAAAAGGAAAAGGAAAGUAAAGGAAAAAUAAAAAGAAAAGAAAAAAAACGGAUAUUGGGCUGGAAUACCCACUUUCGGCCCACUAAGGGACAUCCUCUGCGCAGCCCAGCCAGAUCAACGCUGGCACGUUGGACCCACACGUCAUACCGCGCGCUCAUCACCGCUCUGCCAAUGCCACAGCGGGCCCACUCGCCAGUCUUCCCUCGCGCCUACUUCCUCGUCUGUGCCACUGAGUCACUGGACCCACUUCCCAACCGAUCGACCACGCGUCUGCGUUCCUCCGGUGUGACUUACAUGUGGGCCCGAAUGGUUUGCACUCGUCUCUAACAACCUCACCGCGCAUGGCGGAGCUCC
RNAcentral lists this long non-coding RNA (7281 nucleotides) under Zea mays. RNAcentral's name for it is "long non-coding RNA (ZMAY_LNC000258)". The record is from RNAcentral. Lineage: Eukaryota; Viridiplantae; Streptophyta; Magnoliopsida; Poales; Poaceae.